UUUUAUGGAGAGUUUGAUCCUGGCUCAGGAUGAACGCUGGCGGCGUGCCUAAUACAUGCAAGUCGAGCGAACGGACGAGAAGCUUGCUUCUCUGAUGUUAGCGGCGGACGGGUGAGUAACACGUGGAUAACCUACCUAUAAGACUGGGAUAACUUCGGGAAACCGGAGCUAACACCGGAUAAUAUUUUGAACCGCAUGGUUCAAAAGUGAAAGACGGUCUUGCUGUCACUUAUAGAUGGAUCCGCGCUGCAUUAGCUAGUUGGUAAGGUAACGGCUUACCAAGGCAACGAUGCAUAGCCGACCUGAGAGGGUGAUCGGCCACACUGGAACUGAGACACGGUCCAGACUCCUACGGGAGGCAGCAGUAGGGAAUCUUCCGCAAUGGGCGAAAGCCUGACGGAGCAACGCCGCGUGAGUGAUGAAGGUCUUCGGAUCGUAAAACUCUGUUAUUAGGGAAGAACAUAUGUGUAAGUAACUGUGCACAUCUUGACGGUACCUAAUCAGAAAGCCACGGCUAACUACGUGCCAGCAGCCGCGGUAAUACGUAGGUGGCAAGCGUUAUCCGGAAUUAUUGGGCGUAAAGCGCGCGUAGGCGGUUUUUUAAGUCUGAUGUGAAAGCCCACGGCUCAACCGUGGAGGGUCAUUGGAAACUGGAAAACUUGAGUGCAGAAGAGGAAAGUGGAAUUCCAUGUGUAGCGGUGAAAUGCGCAGAGAUAUGGAGGAACACCAGUGGCGAAGGCGACUUUCUGGUCUGUAACUGACGCUGAUGUGCGAAAGCGUGGGGAUCAAACAGGAUUAGAUACCCUGGUAGUCCACGCCGUAAACGAUGAGUGCUAAGUGUUAGGGGGUUUCCGCCCCUUAGUGCUGCAGCUAACGCAUUAAGCACUCCGCCUGGGGAGUACGACCGCAAGGUUGAAACUCAAAGGAAUUGACGGGGACCCGCACAAGCGGUGGAGCAUGUGGUUUAAUUCGAAGCAACGCGAAGAACCUUACCAAAUCUUGACAUCCUUUGACAACUCUAGAGAUAGAGCCUUCCCCUUCGGGGGACAAAGUGACAGGUGGUGCAUGGUUGUCGUCAGCUCGUGUCGUGAGAUGUUGGGUUAAGUCCCGCAACGAGCGCAACCCUUAAGCUUAGUUGCCAUCAUUAAGUUGGGCACUCUAAGUUGACUGCCGGUGACAAACCGGAGGAAGGUGGGGAUGACGUCAAAUCAUCAUGCCCCUUAUGAUUUGGGCUACACACGUGCUACAAUGGACAAUACAAAGGGCAGCGAAACCGCGAGGUCAAGCAAAUCCCAUAAAGUUGUUCUCAGUUCGGAUUGUAGUCUGCAACUCGACUACAUGAAGCUGGAAUCGCUAGUAAUCGUAGAUCAGCAUGCUACGGUGAAUACGUUCCCGGGUCUUGUACACACCGCCCGUCACACCACGAGAGUUUGUAACACCCGAAGCCGGUGGAGUAACCUUUUAGGAGCUAGCCGUCGAAGGUGGGACAAAUGAUUGGGGUGAAGUCGUAACAAGGUAGCCGUAUCGGAAGGUGCGGCUGGAUCACCUCCUUUCU
RNAcentral lists this ribosomal RNA (1555 nucleotides) under Staphylococcus aureus subsp. aureus LGA251. It matches the Rfam family "Bacterial small subunit ribosomal RNA". Lineage: Bacteria; Bacillati; Bacillota; Bacilli; Caryophanales; Staphylococcaceae. The record is from RNAcentral.